Molecule: ribosomal RNA, 1430 nt
Filed under: bacterium
Lineage: Bacteria
Description: bacterial SSU rRNA
Rfam family: Bacterial small subunit ribosomal RNA
Source: RNAcentral
CAGCUACACAUGCAGUCGAGCGGUAGCACAGAGAGCUUGCUCUCGGGUGACGAGCGGCGGACGGGUGAGUAAUGUCUGGGAAACUGCCUGAUGGAGGGGGAUAACUACUGGAAACGGUAGCUAAUACCGCAUAACGUCGCAAGACCAAAGUGGGGGACCUUCGGGCCUCAUGCCAUCAGAUGUGCCCAGAUGGGAUUAGCUGGUAGGUGGGGUAACGGCUCACCUAGGCGACGAUCCCUAGCUGGUCUGAGAGGAUGACCAGCCACACUGGAACUGAGACACGGUCCAGACUCCUACGGGAGGCAGCAGUGGGGAAUAUUGCACAAUGGGCGCAAGCCUGAUGCAGCCAUGCCGCGUGUGUGAAGAAGGCCUUCGGGUUGUAAAGCACUUUCAGCGGGGAGGAAGGCGGUGAGGUUAAUAACCUUGUCGAUUGACGUUACCCGCAGAAGAAGCACCGGCUAACUCCGUGCCAGCAGCCGCGGUAAUACGGAGGGUGCAAGCGUUAAUCGGAAUUACUGGGCGUAAAGCGCACGCAGGCGGUCUGUCAAGUCGGAUGUGAAAUCCCCGGGCUCAACCUGGGAACUGCAUUCGAAACUGGCAGGCUAGAGUCUUGUAGAGGGGGGUAGAAUUCCAGGUGUAGCGGUGAAAUGCGUAGAGAUCUGGAGGAAUACCGGUGGCGAAGGCGGCCCCCUGGACAAAGACUGACGCUCAGGUGCGAAAGCGUGGGGAGCAAACAGGAUUAGAUACCCUGGUAGUCCACGCUGUAAACGAUGUCGAUUUGGAGGUUGUGCCCUUGAGGCGUGGCUUCCGGAGCUAACGCGUUAAAUCGACCGCCUGGGGAGUACGGCCGCAAGGUUAAAACUCAAAUGAAUUGACGGGGGCCCGCACAAGCGGUGGAGCAUGUGGUUUAAUUCGAUGCAACGCGAAGAACCUUACCUGGUCUUGACAUCCACAGAACUUAGCAGAGAUGGAUUGGUGCCUUCGGGAACUGUGAGACAGGUGCUGCAUGGCUGUCGUCAGCUCGUGUUGUGAAAUGUUGGGUUAAGUCCCGCAACGAGCGCAACCCUUAUCCUUUGUUGCCAGCGGUUAGGCCGGGAACUCAAAGGAGACUGCCAGUGAUAAACUGGAGGAAGGUGGGGAUGACGUCAAGUCAUCAUGGCCCUUACGACCAGGGCUACACACGUGCUACAAUGGCAUAUACAAAGAGAAGCGACCUCGCGAGAGCAAGCGGACCUCAUAAAGUAUGUCGUAGUCCGGAUUGGAGUCUGCAACUCGACUCCAUGAAGUCGGAAUCGCUAGUAAUCGUAGAUCAGAAUGCUACGGUGAAUACGUUCCCGGGCCUUGUACACACCGCCCGUCACACCAUGGGAGUGGGUUGCAAAAGAAGUAGGUAGCUUAACCUUCGGGAGGGCGCUACCACUUGAUCUGCU